GCACCGUUGGUCCAGUGGUAGGACAUUAGCUUCCCAACCUAAUAGCCCGUAGGUUCAAUCGGCUACUGGUGCG
RNAcentral lists this transfer RNA (73 nucleotides) under Halorubrum ezzemoulense. RNAcentral's name for it is "tRNA-Gly". Lineage: Archaea; Methanobacteriati; Methanobacteriota; Halobacteria; Halobacteriales; Haloferacaceae. The record is from RNAcentral.